RNAcentral lists this long non-coding RNA (624 nucleotides) under Homo sapiens (human). Its description in RNAcentral is "LYPLAL1 divergent transcript". The record is from RNAcentral. Lineage: Eukaryota; Metazoa; Chordata; Mammalia; Primates; Hominidae.
UGUUUGCAGCUCUUGAUAUACAGGAACUAGAACGUGUCUUUUAAGAGCAUGCGGUUUUAUAAUUACGUGGAAGUAUGCUACGCAAGGGAAAAAAGCCUCUUGCUAGUGUUAAGGGUCUUCAUAAACAGAAACCGCAAGGAACCUGGGAUCUGACAGCUGUUGGAGGAAUGCCUGUGAGGAAGGAGGAGGAACAGAAGAAUGCUUUGAUGUCUUAAAUGGUACAUCCAAACUUAAGUGAAAUAGAGCUGUGAGGACAUUUUGGGGAGAAGUGACCUAGAUAAGCACUGACUGUUGCAUUCAUCUCUCUUCUUGCUGAUUGUGAUGAUUUCCUGUGCCAUAGCCAUUCAAAGUCUGCCAAAAAAGGACCACCAGCUGCGAGAAGGAGCUACCUACUUUGGGUUUCCUUGACUCAUCAGGACCAACUGCCUGUGGAAAGGUGCUAGAAGCUACGGACUAGAGGUCUCCUCUCUGCUGAGAGCUGGACACUCUUUGGGACAACCUGCCUGUGGAAAGGAGCUACCCACUUCAGGUCUCCUGAGAGCUGUUCUGUUCCUCAAUGAAGCUCCUGUCUGCCUUGCUCACCCUCCGGUUGUCUGCAGAACUUAUUCUUCCUGGAUGUGGGAC